Molecule: ribosomal RNA, 465 nt
Filed under: uncultured Klebsiella sp.
Lineage: Bacteria; Pseudomonadati; Pseudomonadota; Gammaproteobacteria; Enterobacterales; Enterobacteriaceae
Description: bacterial SSU rRNA
Rfam family: Bacterial small subunit ribosomal RNA
Source: RNAcentral
CCUACGGGCGGCAGCAGUGGGGAAUAUUGCACAAUGGGCGCAAGCCUGAUGCAGCCAUGCCGCGUGUGUGAAGAAGGCCUUCGGGUUGUAAAGCACUUUCAGCGGGGAGGAAGGCGGUGAGGUUAAUAACCUCAUCGAUUGACGUUACCCGCAGAAGAAGCACCGGCUAACUCCGUGCCAGCAGCCGCGGUAAUACGGAGGGUGCAAGCGUUAAUCGGGAUUACUGGGCGUAAAGCGCACGCAGGCGGUCUGUCAAGUCGGAUGUGAAAUCCCCGGGCUCAACCUGGGAACUGCAUUCGAAACUGGCAGGCUAGAGUCUUGUAGAGGGGGGUAGAAUUCCAGGUGUAGCGGUGAAAUGCGUAGAGAUCUGGAGGAAUACCGGUGGCGAAGGCGGCCCCCUGGACAAAGACUGACGCUCAGGUGCAAAAGCGUGGGGAGCAAACAGGAUUAAAUACCCUAGUAGUC